GUGGGUAUCGUUUGGAUGCUGAGCAGAGAUAGUACCAGGUCUGGCAAAGGCUUAGCUUCAACGGUGGUGGUGGCUGUGUAGACUCAGAACAAAGCAUGACAACUGGCUUGUUUUGUGACGAGGCCUCUCCUGCCUUGCUUGCCCUGUGCAAUGUAAUGUAGACACGAUGGUUGGAGUUCCAGAAGUUGUCUUGGACGAUGAGGUAGCUUUGAGGAUAGAAGCCUUUGGCUAAGGAAGGUGGAGCACAAAGACAGAAGACGAAGAGCAUUCCUGAGGACUGUGGAGUUCCAUGCCAGCCUUGCAUUGUCUAUCUUGUUACUUCUGUGGGAGAAAAAAUACAGUAAACCUCUAUCUUGCUUAA
Molecule: long non-coding RNA, 361 nt
Filed under: Homo sapiens (human)
Lineage: Eukaryota; Metazoa; Chordata; Mammalia; Primates; Hominidae
Description: HSALNT0327276
Source: RNAcentral